GAUGAACGCUAGCGGGAGGCCUAACACAUGCAAGCCGAGCGGUAUUGUUUCUUCGGAAGUGAGAGAGCGGCGUACGGGUGCGGAACACGUGUGCAACCUGCCUUUAUCUGGGGGAUAGCCUUUCGAAAGGAAGAUUAAUACUCCAUAAUAUAUUGAACGGCAUCGUUUAAUAUUGAAAGCUCCGGCGGAUAGAGAUGGGCACGCGCAAGAUUAGCUAGUUGGUGAGGUAACGGCUCACCAAGGCGAUGAUCUUUAGGGGGCCUGAGAGGGUGAUCCCCCACACUGGUACUGAGACACGGACCAGACUCCUACGGGAGGCAGCAGUGAGGAAUAUUGGUCAAUGGGUGCAAGCCUGAACCAGCCAUCCCGCGUGAAGGACGACUGCCCUAUGGGUUGUAAACUUCUUUUGUAUAGGGAUAAACCUACCCUCGUGAGGGUAGCUGAAGGUACUAUACGAAUAAGCACCGGCUAACUCCGUGCCAGCAGCCGCGGUAAUACGGAGGGUGCAAGCGUUAUCCGGAUUUAUUGGGUUUAAAGGGUCCGUAGGCGGACUUAUAAGUCAGUGGUGAAAGCCUGUCGCUUAACGAUAGAACUGCCAUUGAUACUGUAAGUCUUGAGUAUAUUUGAGGUAGCUGGAAUAAGUAGUGUAGCGGUGAAAUGCAUAGAUAUUACUUAGAACACCAAUUGCGAAGGCAGGUUACCAAGAUAUAACUGACGCUGAGGGACGAGAGCGUGGGGAGCGAACAGGAUUAGAUACCCUGGUAGUCCACGCCGUAAACGAUGCUAACUCGUUUUUGGGCUUUAGGGUUCAGAGACCAAGCGAAAGUGAUAAGUUAGCCACCUGGGGAGUACGCUCGCAAGAGUGAAACUCAAAGGAAUUGACGGGGGCCCGCACAAGCGGUGGAUUAUGUGGUUUAAUUCGAUGAUACGCGAGGAACCUUACCAAGACUUAAAUGGGAAUUGACAGCUUUAGAAAUAGAGCUUUCUUCGGACAAUUUUCAAGGUGCUGCAUGGUUGUCGUCAGCUCGUGCCGUGAGGUGUUAGGUUAAGUCCUGCAACGAGCGCAACCCCUGUCACUAGUUGCCAUCAUUCAGUUGGGGACUCUAGUGAGACUGCCUACGCAAGUAGAGAGGAAGGUGGGGAUGACGUCAAAUCAUCACGGCCCUUACGUCUUGGGCCACACACGUAAUACAAUGGCCGGUACAGAGGGCAGCUACACAGCGAUGUGAUGCAAAUCUCGAAAGCCGGUCUCAGUUCGGAUUGGAGUCUGCAACUCGACUCUAUGAAGCUGGAAUCGCUAGUAAUCGCGCAUCAGCCAUGGCGCGGUGAAUACGUUCCCGGGCCU
Molecule: ribosomal RNA, 1345 nt
Filed under: uncultured bacterium
Lineage: Bacteria
Description: bacterial SSU rRNA
Rfam family: Bacterial small subunit ribosomal RNA
Source: RNAcentral